RNAcentral lists this small RNA (371 nucleotides) under Drosophila pseudoobscura pseudoobscura. Its description in RNAcentral is "GA32981". The record is from RNAcentral. Lineage: Eukaryota; Metazoa; Arthropoda; Insecta; Diptera; Drosophilidae.
GUUUUACUAAGCGAAUAUGGGAAAUGAUGGAGCUAUUCUAGCAAACUGAUGUAUUGAUUUCUAAAGCUCUGGCCCUGAGAGAUGGGAUAAACAUAGAGGGAAGCAGAGGAGGGUCCACAGCCGCCAGUUAUGAUCUAAUUUCAGUUCUUAGCCGACUCUGCCAAGCGCCCUUCGAGUACUGGCUGGAAAAUGCAGCUAAUUCGAUGAAAUUCAGCCGCCCAAUACCCCCAUUUCGAUGUCGAAUGCAUUAAGACUAAGCGAAUUAAGUAUUUAAUGUUUAAAUACGUGAUAUAGAGUGCAUGUUGCACAUUGUAUUAUAUGCAAAUAUUUGUGAGAAUUUCUGGCAAAGGCAAAUACAAGUAAAUCAAACA